RNAcentral lists this ribosomal RNA (589 nucleotides) under Diversispora spurca. Its description in RNAcentral is "LSU rRNA". It matches the Rfam family "Eukaryotic large subunit ribosomal RNA", at positions 76 to 640 of the family's 3401-position model. The record is from RNAcentral. Lineage: Eukaryota; Fungi; Glomeromycota; Glomeromycetes; Diversisporales; Diversisporaceae.
UCCCCUAGUAACGGCGAGUGAAGAGGGAAAAGCUCAAAUUUUAAAUCUACCUGGUUUUUCCCAGGUCGAGUUGUAAUUUGAAGAAGCGAUAUCGGUGUUGAGGUCUGGUUUAAGUUCUUUAGAACAAGACAUCAUGGAGGGUGAGAAUCCCGUGCAUGAUCAGACCAAGAUACUAGUAUACGCUUUCCAAGAGUCGAGUUGUUUGGGAAUGCAGCUCAAAAUGGGUGGUAGACUUCACCUAAGGCUAAAUAUCAGCGAGAGACCGAUAGCGAACAAGUACUGUGAAGGAAAGAUGAAAAGAACUUUGAAAAGAGAGUUAAAUAGUACGUGAAAUUGUUGAAAGGGAAACGAUUGAAGUCAGUCAUGCCAGUGAAAACUCAGUUUGUCGGUGAUCUAGUUCAGGAGUAGAGGCAGGGUCAAACCGUCUCUCUUUUGGACGGGAUUUUUGGCAGAUGGAAUUUUUUUCUGACAGGUCAGCGUCGGUUUCGGGGGGUUGUAAAAUACUUGGGGUAAGUGGCUCUGCUUCGGGAGAGUGUUAUAGACCUUUGGGGAUGCAGCCCGCGGGAUCGAGGAUUGCAGCAAAUGCCUU